Molecule: ribosomal RNA, 429 nt
Filed under: uncultured bacterium
Lineage: Bacteria
Description: bacterial SSU rRNA
Rfam family: Bacterial small subunit ribosomal RNA
Source: RNAcentral
UGGGGAAUAUUGGGCAAUGGGCGAAAGCCUGACCCAGCGACGCCGCGUGGGUGAUGAAGGCCUUCGGGUUGUAAAGCCCUGUCAUGCGGAAAGAACGACCCUGAGACGCAUACUCUCGGGGAGUGACGGUACCGCAGGAGGAAGCACCGGCUAACUCCGUGCCAGCAGCCGCGGUAAUACGGAGGGUGCAAGCGUUGUUCGGAAUUAUUGGGCGUAAAGGGCGCGUAGGCGGUAAUGUAAGUCAGAUGCGAAAUACUCCGGCUCAACCAGAGAACAGCAUCUGAAACUGCAUAACUAGAGUACAGAAGAGGGAAACGGAAUUCCCGGUGUAGAGGUGAAAUUCAUAGAUAUCGGGAGGGACACCAGUGGCGAAGGCGGUUUCCUGGUCUGAUACUGACGCUGAGGCGCGAAAGCGUGGGGAGCAAACAG